UUUGCUUUGUCUACGCACCCUUACGGCUGCAGGGUGAUCCAGAGGAUCCUAGAGCACUGUCUCCCUGACCAGACUCUCCCGAUCCUCGAGGAGCUUCACCAGCACACGGAGCAGCUCGUACAGGAUCAGUAUGGAAAUUAUGUAAUCCAACAUGUACUGGAGCAUGGUCGUCCUGAGGAUAAAAGCAAAAUUGUAGCAGAGAUCCGAGGCAAUGUACUUGUAUUGAGUCAGCACAAGUUUGCAAGCAAUGUUGUGGAGAAGUGUGUCACUCACGCCUCACGUACAGAGCGUGCUGUGCUCAUUGAUGAGGUAUGCACCAUGAACGACGGUCCCCACAGUGCCUUAUACACCAUGAUGAAGGAUCAGUAUGCCAACUAUGUGGUCCAGAAGAUGAUCGAUGUGGCCGAGCCAGGUCAGCGGAAGAUCGUCAUGCACAAGGUAAGCAAGCUGGG
Molecule: long non-coding RNA, 452 nt
Organism: Grammomys surdaster
Lineage: Eukaryota; Metazoa; Chordata; Mammalia; Rodentia; Muridae
Exons: 3
Source: RefSeq, a predicted model, not a curated record